This is a long non-coding RNA of Sander lucioperca (pikeperch), 186 nucleotides long. RefSeq lists it as uncharacterized. The record is from RefSeq and is a predicted model, not a curated record. The transcript is spliced from 2 exons. NCBI's taxonomy places the organism in Eukaryota, Metazoa, Chordata, Actinopteri, Perciformes, Percidae.
UACUGUAUGUGAUAAACAGUUGAGACACGAACAAGCAGACAGUUGACUUCACUGUUGACUUCAACGGACAUUGACACAAUGGCACAGACACACACGGUCGGAGGAUACGGUCAGACAGCAGACGCCACUAAGGAAACUCAGGAUCUUUGUCAUCAGGUGAAGACCCAGGUGGAGAAAAAGACAGGA